RNAcentral lists this transfer RNA (71 nucleotides) under Cavia porcellus (domestic guinea pig). It matches the Rfam family "tRNA". Rfam says of the family: Transfer RNA (tRNA) molecules are approximately 80 nucleotides in length. Their secondary structure includes four short double-helical elements and three loops (D, anti-codon, and T loops). Lineage: Eukaryota; Metazoa; Chordata; Mammalia; Rodentia; Caviidae. The record is from Rfam by way of RNAcentral.
AGGGAUUUAGCUCAGCGGCAUAAGCACCUGCCUUACAAGCAGGCGGUCGUGAGUUCGAUCCCCAGUACCAA